RNAcentral lists this ribosomal RNA (497 nucleotides) under uncultured bacterium. RNAcentral's name for it is "partial 16S ribosomal RNA". It matches the Rfam family "Bacterial small subunit ribosomal RNA", at positions 28 to 507 of the family's 1533-position model. The record is from RNAcentral.
GACGAACGCUGGCGGCGUGCCUAAUACAUGCAAGUUGAGCGAUGAAGAUUGGUGCUUGCACCAAUUUGAAGAGCAGCGAACGGGUGAGUAACGCGUGGGGAAUCUGCCUUUGAGCGGGGGACAACAUUUGGAAACGAAUGCUAAUACCGCAUAACAACUUUAAACAUAAGUUUUAAGUUUGAAAGAUGCAAUUGCAUCACUCAAAGAUGAUCCCGCGUUGUAUUAGCUAGUUGGUGAGGUAAAGGCUCGCCAAGGCGAUGAUACAUAGCCGACCUGAGAGGGUGAUCGGCCACAUUGGGACUGAGACACGGCCCAAACUCCUACGGGAGGCAGCAGUAGGGAAUCUUCGGCAAUGGACGAAAGUCUGACCGAGCAACGCCGCGUGAGUGAAGAAGGUUUUCGGAUCGUAAAACUCUGUUGGUAGAGAAGAACGUUGGUGAGAGUGGAAAGCUCAUCAAGUGACGGUAACUACCCAGAAAGGGACGGCUAACUACGUG